RNAcentral lists this long non-coding RNA (1056 nucleotides) under Prunus dulcis (almond). RNAcentral describes it as "sRNA ncRNA". The record is from RNAcentral. Lineage: Eukaryota; Viridiplantae; Streptophyta; Magnoliopsida; Rosales; Rosaceae.
ACAAAAUCUGUCCUCUAACAAAAGAACGGACGUCCUGCACUGAGAAAUCAUGCCGUGUUUUGACAAUUUUAUUGUGCAUCUUGUAGAAGAAGGAGCAGCUGAGUGUGAGAGAGAGUGUGUUGGAUUAUUCACAAAGCCAAUAGUAUCUCUGCUGUGUAUAUGUAUUGGAUUAUUGUUCAUUUUGUAGAGAAAGGACCAGCUGAGUGUGAGACGUUAUACCCUAAGACUCUCUGCAUAUUCUUUAUCUUUAGCUCUCUCUCACUUAGUUUGAGCAUGACUAACCAUCCAUGUCCACAAAACGGUGACAAAGAAAAAAGAGAAAACAUGGAGAGAAGAAAAGAGGAGCUACAAGCUACAAUUGAGAAGCAGGAUGAUCGUGUAAACCAUCUUCAAACGAGUGCCUUCAACCUUGCAAACUACUACAUUGUCUUCCAAGGAGUUAUUUUGGGGGCUAUCGUCAACGCCACCACAGCCCUCCGAUGCUCAGAUCGUUGGUUCCUUUUCAGCCUCUCUCUAAUAGCAGCCAUACUCAAUCUGGUUUCAUUGCUUGUAAUUGGAGGCAAUUAUAAAAGAAGCGUCAUGCAGAGACACCAUACCAAGAGUGCGCACAUUAAAUUGGAAAACGAUCUGGGGAAGCUAGAAACUUCAUCUUCAGAUCACGGGCUCAAAACUAAUAUAUUAUCGUACUGGGAGUCGACAAAAAUUGAAGCUUCAGGGCAUGUUACUUGUCAAGAUCCUACAACUGUUGAAAUUAAGGAUGAACCGGAACAAAGGCAGAUCAGGAAGCGGGUUGUGCCGGUUGAUAAUCUUCACAAACAGCUGCGUGAUUUCUACUUUCUACUUUGCACGGGUCUCUUUGUAUCCUUUGCCGUCAUCGUGGUUGUGGGUUGCUGGACCAUUCCUUGCAAGGAAGCUUUUCAAUGCAUACCACCCGUAUCCAGCACUGGGAAAUGCAUUAGGGUUUGUGAAGGUGCCAAGUGUAUGAGCAUGUGCACCGAAUAGUAGAGCUUACAAGAGUUCUAGCCUUGAGCUGGGGUUAUCCAAGUUGAUUAGUAC